This is a non-coding RNA of Dermatophagoides farinae (American house dust mite), 276 nucleotides long. NCBI's taxonomy places the organism in Eukaryota, Metazoa, Arthropoda, Arachnida, Sarcoptiformes, Pyroglyphidae. The record is from RefSeq and is a predicted model, not a curated record.
UACCUCGAAUGAUAUGAUGAUGAGUAAUACAUUUUUUUAAAGAUUUGUUUUGGAUUUUGUAGAAUCAGCCUUUGAAAUCGGGAAAUUAAAAAAUGAACAUCUCAUCUCAUCAUUAUAAAACAAUAACUGUGUGUGUCCCAAAUGUGGUACAAUUUUGUUCAGUAUCAUUUUGUUUAUCAUGUAGGGGGAAAUUAAUGUCUUUUAUCGAUUGUUAAUGUUGUUGGAAUCAUUUUUUUGCAAUGUUGAUAUGUCUUAACAGCCAACAACAACAACAAC